This 646-nucleotide ribosomal RNA is filed under the name uncultured Basidiomycota. RNAcentral's name for it is "LSU rRNA". It matches the Rfam family "Eukaryotic large subunit ribosomal RNA", at positions 1 to 631 of the family's 3401-position model. The record is from RNAcentral. Lineage: Eukaryota; Fungi; Basidiomycota.
CCUCAAAUCAGGUAGGACUACCCGCCGAACUUAAGCAUAUCAAUAAGCGGAGGAAAAGAAACUAACAAGGAUUCCCCUAGUAACUGCGAGUGAAGCGGGAAAAGCUCAAAUUUAAAAUCUGGCGGUCUUUUGGCUGUCCGAGUUGUAAUCUAGAGAAGUGUUAUCCGCGCUGGACCGUGUACAAGUUUCCUGGAAUGGAGCAUCAUAGAGGGUGAGAAUCCCGUCUUUGACAUGGACUACCAGGGCUUUGUGAUGCGCUCUCAAAGAGUCGAGUUGUUUGGGAAUGCAGCUCAAAAUGGGUGGUAAAUUCCAUCUAAAGCUAAAUAUUGGCGAGAGACCGAUAGCGAACAAGUACCGUGAGGGAAAGAUGAAAAGAACUUUGGAAAGAGAGUUAAACAGUACGUGAAAUUGCUGAAAGGGAAACGCUUGAAGUCAGUCGCGUCAUCCAGGGAUCAACCUUGCUUUUGCUUGGUGCACUUUCUGGUUUGAUGGGUCAGCAUCAAUUUUGACCAUUGGAAAAAGGUCAAGGGAAUGUGGCAUCUUCGGAUGUGUUAUAGCCCUUGGUCACAUACAAUGGUUGGGAUUGAGGAACUCAGCACGCCGCAAGGCCGGGUUUUUAACCACGUUCGUGCUUAGGAUGCUGGCA